AAACAUCAACAAGUCCUUGACCACACUGGGAAAGGUCAUCUCUGCUCUAGCUGAAAUGGAUUCUGGACCAAACAAGAAUAAAAAGAAGAAAAAGACUGAUUUCAUCCCCUACCGAGACUCAGUGCUGACCUGGCUCCUCCGGGAAAAUCUGGGU
Gracilinanus agilis (Agile Gracile Mouse Opossum) is the source of this 154-nucleotide long non-coding RNA. RefSeq lists it as uncharacterized. The transcript is spliced from 3 exons. Lineage: Eukaryota; Metazoa; Chordata; Mammalia; Didelphimorphia; Didelphidae. The record is from RefSeq and is a predicted model, not a curated record.